RNAcentral lists this ribosomal RNA (462 nucleotides) under uncultured bacterium. RNAcentral's name for it is "bacterial SSU rRNA". It matches the Rfam family "Bacterial small subunit ribosomal RNA", at positions 355 to 825 of the family's 1533-position model. The record is from RNAcentral.
UGGGGAAUAUUGCGCAAUGGACGAAAGUCUGACGCAGCGACGCCGCGUGGGGGAUGAAGGUCUUCGGAUUGUAAACCCCUUUCGGGAGGGAAGAUGGAGUGGGUAACCACUUGGACGGUACCUCCAGAAGCAGCCACGGCUAACUUCGUGCCAGCAGCCGCGGUAAUACGAAGGUGGCAAGCGUUGUUCGGAUUCACUGGGCGUACAGGGAGCGUAGGCGGUUGGGUAAGCCCUCCGUGAAAUCUCCGGGCCUAACCCGGAAAGUGCAGAGGGGACUGCUCAGCUAGAGGAUGGGAGAGGAGCGCGGAAUUCCCGGUGUAGCGGUGAAAUGCGUAGAGAUCGGGAGGAAGGCCGGUGGCGAAGGCGGCGCUCUGGAACAUUUCUGACGCUGAGGCUCGAAAGCGUGGGGAGCAAACAGGAUUAGAUACCCAAGUAGUCCCUGAGCGGGCUGGCAAGGCGCAU